Molecule: long non-coding RNA, 381 nt
Organism: Corvus hawaiiensis (hawaiian crow)
Lineage: Eukaryota; Metazoa; Chordata; Aves; Passeriformes; Corvidae
Exons: 2
Source: RefSeq, a predicted model, not a curated record
GCCAUGGGAAGCAAACCUGGCUCUGUUUUCCUGUAACGUCUCUUCUGUUCCAAGCCUGAGCCCGUCUGGAUGCUUGAGGUUGCUCUGGUCACAGGGACCAAAGGCUGGAGGGAAAAGCGGUUCGUGCUGUGCUGGUGUUUAAUGCACUUACCUUGGGAACGACCCUGGACUGGUCCAUCAGCCCUCAGCAGCAUCAUAUUGAUGUUUUCUCCUAGUGCACGAAGGGUGCAGUUGAGAGCAGCAUGAAGUCAUCACACAAAACUCUUUUGCAAUUUAAAUGCAAUUUUAAUGCGAUUUUAAUGCAAUUUUAAUGCGAUUUUAAUGCAGUUUUUAAUGCCAAUUAAACACCUGCUAGAGGCUGUGUGGGCAGGUUUGAGGAAA